RNAcentral lists this unclassified non-coding RNA (208 nucleotides) under soil metagenome. RNAcentral's name for it is "partial contains 5.8S ribosomal RNA, internal transcribed spacer 2, and large subunit ribosomal RNA". The record is from RNAcentral.
AACCAUUCUCACCUGCGGCUAGACCUGCGGAGGGAUCAUUACCGAGUUUACAACUCCCAAACCCCUGUGAACAUACCAAUUGUUGCCUCGGCGGAUCAGCCCGCUCCCGGUAAAACGGGACGGCCCGCCAGAGGACCCCUAAACUCUGUUUCUAUAUGUAACUUCUGAGUAAAACCAUAAAUAAAUCAAAACUUUCAACAAUGGAUCU